This 374-nucleotide ribosomal RNA is filed under the name uncultured organism. RNAcentral's name for it is "bacterial SSU rRNA". It matches the Rfam family "Bacterial small subunit ribosomal RNA", at positions 526 to 896 of the family's 1533-position model. The record is from RNAcentral.
CGGGGGGAGCAAGCGUUGUUCGGAUUUACUGGGCGUAAAGGGCGCGUAGGCGGCCACCGCAAGUCGGUUGUGAAAUCUCCGGGCUUAACCCGGAAAGGUCAAUCGAUACUGCGGGGCUAGAGUGCAGAAGGGGCAGCUGGAAUUCUCGGUGUAGCGGUGAAAUGCGUAGAUAUCGAGAGGAACACCUGCGGCGAAGGCGGGUUGCUGGGCUGACACUGACGCUGAAGCGCGAAAGCUAGGGGAGCGAACGGGAUUAGAUACCCCGGUAGUCCUAGCCUUAAACGAUGAAUGCUUGGUGUCUGGGGUUUUAUAGUCCCCGGGUGCCGUCGCUAACGCUUUAAGCAUUCCGCCUGGGGAGUACGGUCGCAAGACUG